UACGUAGGGUGCAAGCGUUGUCCGGAAUUAUUGGGCGUAAAGAGCUCGUAGGCGGUUUGUUGCGUCGGCUGUGAAAUCCCGAGGCUUAACCCCGGGCGUGCAGUGGAUACGGGCAGGCUGGAGGCAGGUAGGGGAGAUCGGAAUUCCUGGUGUAGCGGUGAAAUGCGCAGAUAUCAGGAGGAACACCGGUGGCGAAGGCGGAUCUCUGGGCCAUUACUGACGCUGAGGAGCGAAAGCGUGGGGAGCGAACAGG
Molecule: ribosomal RNA, 253 nt
Filed under: uncultured bacterium
Lineage: Bacteria
Description: partial 16S ribosomal RNA
Rfam family: Bacterial small subunit ribosomal RNA
Source: RNAcentral